UGGGGAAUAUUGCACAAUGGGCGCAAGCCUGAUGCAGCCAUGCCGCGUGUGUGAAGAAGGCCUUCGGGUUGUAAAGUACUUUCAGUCGGGAGGAAGGUGGUAAGGUUAAUAACCUUAUCAAUUGACGUUACCGACAGAAGAAGCACCGGCUAACUCCGUGCCAGCAGCCGCGGUAAUACGGCGGGUGCAAGCGUUAAUCGGAAUUAAUGGGCGUAAAGCGCACGCAGGCGGUUGAUUGAGUCAGAUGUGAAAUCCCCGGGCUUAACCCGGGAAUUGCAUCUGAUACUGGUCAGCUAGAGGCUUGUAGAGGGGGGUAGAAUUCCAUGUGUAGCGGUGAAAUGCGUAGAGAUGUGGAGGAAUACCGGUGGCGAAGGCGGCCCCCUGGACAAAGACUGACGCUCAGGUGCGAAAGCGUGGGGAGCAAACAGG
Molecule: ribosomal RNA, 429 nt
Filed under: Chloroflexota bacterium
Lineage: Bacteria; Bacillati; Chloroflexota
Description: Chloroflexi bacterium partial 16S ribosomal RNA
Rfam family: Bacterial small subunit ribosomal RNA
Source: RNAcentral